Molecule: long non-coding RNA, 219 nt
Filed under: Solanum tuberosum (potato)
Lineage: Eukaryota; Viridiplantae; Streptophyta; Magnoliopsida; Solanales; Solanaceae
Description: long non-coding RNA (STUB_LNC003943)
Source: RNAcentral
CCAGGACUUCUGUGAAAACCCUUUAUGCCACGAGGCACAAACCGUACUUUUUAUCUUACGGUUAUAUUUCCGCACAAUGAUUCAUUUGUAGCCCACUGACAUAUAUUUUGAUCUAUGAACUACAAGUUCAAAAACAUCAUUUUUCUAAGUGAAACAAAUAUACUUGAAUAGUGCAUUUUAUUUGGCCAAUCAUUUAUCUAUUGGACAUAUUCAAAUUUA